RNAcentral lists this transfer RNA (41 nucleotides) under Crotalus triseriatus triseriatus. RNAcentral's name for it is "partial tRNA-Ser". The record is from RNAcentral. Lineage: Eukaryota; Metazoa; Chordata; Lepidosauria; Squamata; Viperidae.
CGAGAGGUUCAGAAGACCUGCUAAUUCUUCAAUCUGGAAAA